AAGCUGGAAUCGCUAGUAAUCGCGAAUCAGAAUGUCGCGGUGAAUACGUUCCCGGGUCUUGUACACACCGCCCGUCACACCAUGGGAGUCGGAAAUGCCCGAAGUCAGUGACCCAACCGUAAGGAGGGAGCUGCCGAAGGUGGAGCCGGUAACUGGGGUGAAGUCGUAACAAGGUAUC
This 178-nucleotide ribosomal RNA is filed under the name uncultured bacterium. RNAcentral's name for it is "partial 16S ribosomal RNA". It matches the Rfam family "Bacterial small subunit ribosomal RNA", at positions 1323 to 1500 of the family's 1533-position model. The record is from RNAcentral.